GUGGAGUUUGGAGCCUAAGCGUUGAAAACUCCCAUGUGGCGCCUGUCUUAAAUCGGAGCAUGCUCAGUA
Molecule: non-coding RNA, 69 nt
Organism: Canis lupus familiaris (dog)
Lineage: Eukaryota; Metazoa; Chordata; Mammalia; Carnivora; Canidae
Source: Rfam